GCCCUAUGUUGCCAGCGGAUAAUGCCGGGGACUCGUAGGGGACUGCCGGAGUUAAUUCGGAGGAAGGUGGGGACGACGUCAAGUCAUCAUGCCCCUUACAUCCAGGGCUGCACGCAUGCUACAAUGGCCGGUACAAAGGGUCGCCAACCCGCGAGGGGGAGCCAAUCCCAUAAAGCCGGUCUCAGUUCGGAUCGCAGUCUGCAACUCGACUGCGUGAAGUCGGAGUCGCUAGUAAUCCCGAAUCAGCUCGUCGGGGUGAAUACGUUCCCGGGCCUUGUACACACCGCCCGUCACACCACGAAAGUCGGCAACACCCGAAGCCGGUGGCCCAACCAGUAAUGGAGGGAGCCGUCGAAGGUGGGGUCGGUGAU
This 371-nucleotide ribosomal RNA is filed under the name uncultured Ferrimicrobium sp. RNAcentral describes it as "bacterial SSU rRNA". It matches the Rfam family "Bacterial small subunit ribosomal RNA", at positions 1107 to 1475 of the family's 1533-position model. The record is from RNAcentral. Lineage: Bacteria; Bacillati; Actinomycetota; Acidimicrobiia; Acidimicrobiales; Acidimicrobiaceae.